CUUCUCACCAGAAACCCUAGCGCCACCCCCUGUCUCCGCCGCCCACCGUCAUCAGCCGCCGGUCAAAAAUUGCCCACAGCGGCGGCUGAACUCCGAUUAGCCCCAAAUUUACAAUACUUGAACACCUCCCUCUCCUCUUUCCAAAUCCAUCCCCGCUUCCCUCGAAUCCCACCACAUCCCUUUGAAUAUUAGUUUGAAAUACCGUAUCCUCCACCGUGUACGGCGGUGCCACCACCAACUGGCGACAAAUUAUCACCCCAUGGCCUCCUCACCCUCCUUUUUCUGAAUCCAUAACUGAUAACCUCCAAGUCCUUCCCAAGUGGCUUGAAUUUUAGAUCGAAGUUCGACCCAGAACCCUAAUUUGCCCAGAACCACCCAAAAACCACACCCUACAGUCUCUUUACCUCCCUCACCUCAGAACCAC
This 424-nucleotide long non-coding RNA is filed under the name Nicotiana benthamiana. RNAcentral's name for it is "long non-coding RNA (NBEN_LNC010181)". Lineage: Eukaryota; Viridiplantae; Streptophyta; Magnoliopsida; Solanales; Solanaceae. The record is from RNAcentral.